ACAGAGCAAGAAACUUUCUCAAGAAAAAAAAAAAAGAUAUGAAGAGGAGCACAUCUGGCUACAGAGGCGAGUGUGGGUGGAAGUUUGGUGGGAGGAAGGAACCAGACGUGUUCUGCUGGCAGGGUGCACCUGUCUGCCCAGAAAAGUGGGUUUGUGCAGGAAACUGCAGGUGACAAGGUUGGAAAUGUAAAUUGGGACAUCCUUUGGCUUUUUACUGUGGCUCUCAGCUUCUUAACCGACCUGGAGAAAGAGAGGUAAGAGGAUAAAUAAAGAUGGUGUAAACGGUGUGAAGAUAGUUAUCUGAAAAGGCUGCUGGGAGUAGCUGGCCUUCUGUUCAUAGUAGACAAUUUUGGGUGCCUUCCUAGUGACCCUACAUUUUUUGGGAGUGUGAUCCCCCUUCUUGCUGAGGAGGAAGAAGCAAACAAUCAGGUUUGAGACAGAAAGGGCCCUACUUAUGAGAGGGGGACAGAAUGUGAACUCAGAAAGAUCCAAUCACAGUCAGGUGGUAUUGACCCAGGAGUGGUAUUGACCCGGAAAUAGUAAGAACAUAUAAAAAUGGAGCCCUGGUUGUUACCAAGGCAACCCAUAGUCUGUUGCAUGCUGAGUUUGGGGGAGCAGAAGAGUCUCAGGGGCAUAGUCAGUCCGCAGGGAGAUUAGCACAGGCCGGCAGAGAAGUGACCCAGCGCCAGGUUGCCUGGUAACCUUCCGUUCCCAGGAGGCUGCUGUGAGGCUCCUCUGGCUUCGCGGAGUAUGACGGACCCAGAGCCAUCUCCUUCCGCCUCACCGACUCUGCCUGCAUUUUAGGCCAGGUUGGUAGGAGAGUUGAAUGAAGACUGAAUGAAUGAAUGAUGAAAAGUACAAAAUGCCAUCACUUCACUUCUUUCAGGAAGACCCAGGACACUCUGCUGCAUCCUCCACCUGUUUGUGAAUUAAAUGUCAAUGUUGGCUUUU
This is a non-coding RNA of Macaca mulatta (Rhesus monkey), 951 nucleotides long. The record is from RefSeq and is a predicted model, not a curated record. NCBI's taxonomy places the organism in Eukaryota, Metazoa, Chordata, Mammalia, Primates, Cercopithecidae.